RNAcentral lists this ribosomal RNA (253 nucleotides) under uncultured bacterium. RNAcentral describes it as "partial 16S ribosomal RNA". It matches the Rfam family "Bacterial small subunit ribosomal RNA", at positions 524 to 776 of the family's 1533-position model. The record is from RNAcentral.
UACGUGGGGUGCGAGCGUUAAUCGGAAUUACUGGGCGUAAAGCGUGCGUAGGCGGUUCUGCAAGUCAGAUGUGAAAUCCCCGGGCUUAACCUGGGAACUGCGUUUGAAACUACGGAGCUAGAGUACGGCAGAGGGGGGUGGAAUUCCACGUGUAGCAGUGAAAUGCGUAGAUAUGUGGAGGAACACCGAUGGCGAAGGCAACCCCCUGGGCCGAUACUGACGCUGAGGCACGAAAGCGUGGGGAGCAAACAGG